RNAcentral lists this ribosomal RNA (279 nucleotides) under uncultured Oscillospiraceae bacterium. Its description in RNAcentral is "partial 16S ribosomal RNA". It matches the Rfam family "Archaeal small subunit ribosomal RNA", at positions 461 to 739 of the family's 1478-position model. Lineage: Bacteria; Bacillati; Bacillota; Clostridia; Eubacteriales; Oscillospiraceae. The record is from RNAcentral.
GCAGCCGCGGUAACACCGGCAGCUCUAGUGGUAGCCAUUUUUAUUGGGCCUAAAGCGUUCGUAGCCGGUUUGAUAAGUCUCUGGUGAAAUCCUGUAGCUUAACUGUGGGAAUUGCUGGAGAUACUAUUAGACUUGAGGUCGGGAGAGGUUAGCGGUACUCCCAGGGUAGGGGUGAAAUCCUGUAAUCCUGGGAGGACCACCUGUGGCGAAGGCGGCUAACUGGAACGAACCUGACGGUGAGGGACGAAAGCCAGGGGCGCGAACCGGAUUAGAUACCCG